RNAcentral lists this ribosomal RNA (1020 nucleotides) under Paraleptosphaeria dryadis. Its description in RNAcentral is "SSU rRNA". It matches the Rfam family "Eukaryotic small subunit ribosomal RNA", at positions 75 to 1105 of the family's 1831-position model. The record is from RNAcentral. Lineage: Eukaryota; Fungi; Ascomycota; Dothideomycetes; Pleosporales; Leptosphaeriaceae.
UAUACCGUGAAACUGCGAAUGGCUCAUUAAAUCAGUUAUCGUUUAUUUGAUAGUACCUUACUACUUGGAUAACCGUGGUAAUUCUAGAGCUAAUACAUGCUUAAAACCCCAACUUCGGGAGGGGUGUAUUUAUUAGAUAAAAAACCAACGCCCUUCGGGGCUUCUUGGUGAUUCAUGAUAACUUUACGGAUCGCAUGGCCUUGCGCCGGCGACGGUUCAUUCAAAUUUCUGCCCUAUCAACUUUCGAUGGUAAGGUAUUGGCUUACCAUGGUUUCAACGGGUAACGGGGAAUUAGGGUUCGAUUCCGGAGAGGGAGCCUGAGAAACGGCUACCACAUCCAAGGAAGGCAGCAGGCGCGCAAAUUACCCAAUCCCGACACGGGGAGGUAGUGACAAUAAAUACUGAUACAGGGCUCUUUUGGGUCUUGUAAUUGGAAUGAGUACAAUUUAAACCUCUUAACGAGGAACAAUUGGAGGGCAAGUCUGGUGCCAGCAGCCGCGGUAAUUCCAGCUCCAAUAGCGUAUAUUAAAGUUGUUGCAGUUAAAAAGCUCGUAGUUGAAACUUGGGUCUGGCUGGCAGGUCCGCCUCACCGCGUGUACUUGUCCGGCCGGGCCUUCCUUCUGGAGAACCUCAUGCCCUUCACUGGGCGUGUUGGGGACCAGGACUUUUACUUUGAAAAAAUUAGAGUGUUCAAAGCAGGCCUUUGCUCGAAUACGUUAGCAUGGAAUAAUAGAAUAGGACGUGCGGUCCUAUUUUGUUGGUUUCUAGGACCGCCGUAAUGAUUAAUAGGGACAGUCGGGGGCAUCAGUAUUCAAUUGUCAGAGGUGAAAUUCUUGGAUUUAUUGAAGACUAACUACUGCGAAAGCAUUUGCCAAGGAUGUUUUCAUUAAUCAGUGAACGAAAGUUAGGGGAUCGAAGACGAUCAGAUACCGUCGUAGUCUUAACCGUAAACUAUGCCGACUAGGGAUCGGGCGAUGUUCUUUUUCUGACUCGCUCGGCACCUUACGAGAAAUCAAAGUU